Molecule: transfer RNA, 75 nt
Filed under: Ixodes scapularis (black-legged tick)
Lineage: Eukaryota; Metazoa; Arthropoda; Arachnida; Ixodida; Ixodidae
Rfam family: tRNA
About the family: Transfer RNA (tRNA) molecules are approximately 80 nucleotides in length.
Source: Rfam by way of RNAcentral
CUCUGGUUCGCUCAGUUGGUAGAGCGCUCCACUAGAAAUGGAGAGGUCCCGCGGGUUCGAUACCCAGACCAGACA